UUUCCGUAGGUGAACCUGCGGAAGGAUCAUUAAUGAGUUGUCAUGGGGGUUCGAUGCUGGCAGCCAGUUUUUGGAUGCAUGUGCUUGCCCUAACAAUCAUCUUCUUCCAAACACCUGUGCACAUUUUUGAGGGAGUCUUGAGUUGGUUGCCGCUCUUGGGUGAUUUUCUCACAUUCCCUUAAAUCAUUAUACGCUAUUAACAAUGUUGAACGUGCUCUGUGCCGCAAGGCCAUUAAUAUAAUACAACUUUUAACAACGGAUCUCUUGGCUCUC
This 273-nucleotide unclassified non-coding RNA is filed under the name plant metagenome. RNAcentral describes it as "partial contains small subunit ribosomal RNA, internal transcribed spacer 1, and 5.8S ribosomal RNA". The record is from RNAcentral.